This 318-nucleotide ribosomal RNA is filed under the name uncultured bacterium. RNAcentral describes it as "partial 16S ribosomal RNA". It matches the Rfam family "Bacterial small subunit ribosomal RNA", at positions 355 to 690 of the family's 1533-position model. The record is from RNAcentral.
UGGGGAAUAUUGGACAAUGGGGGCAACCCUGAUCCAGCAAUGCCGCGUGUGUGAAGAAGGUCUUCGGAUUGUAAAGCACUUUCGACGGGGACGAUGAUGACGGUACCCGUAGAAGAAGCCCCGGCUAACUUCGUGCCAGCAGCCGCGGUAAUACGAAGGGGGCUAGCGUUGCUCGGAAUGACUGGGCGUAAAGGGCGUGUAGGCGGUUUACACAGUCAGAUGUGAAAUCCCCGGGCUUAACCUGGGAGCUGCAUUUGAUACGUGUAGACUAGAGUGUGAGAGAGGGUUGUGGAAUUCCCAGUGUAGAGGUGAAAUUCG